GACGAACGCUGGCGGCGUGCUUAGCACAUGCAAGUCGAACGAUGAACCGGUUUCGGCCGGGGAUUAGUGGCGAACGGGUGCGUAACACGUGGGCAAUCUGCCCUGCACUCUGGGAUAAGCCCGGGGAACUGGGUCUAAUACCGGAUACGACACUCCGAGGCAUCUUGGGGUGUGGAAAGUUCCGGCGGUGCAGGAUGAGCCCGCGGCCUGUCAGCUUGUUGGUGGGGUAAUGGCCUACCAAGGCGACGACGGGUAGCCGGCCUGAGAGGGUGACCGGCCACACUGGGACUGAGACACGGCCCAGACUCCUACGGGAGGCAGCAGUGGGGAAUAUUGCACAAUGGGCGAAAGCCUGAUGCAGCGACGCCGCGUGAGGGAUGACGGCCUUCGGGUUGUAAACCUCUUUCAGCAGGGAAGAAGCGAAAGUGACGGUACCUGCAGAAGAAGCACCGGCUAACUACGUG
RNAcentral lists this ribosomal RNA (464 nucleotides) under uncultured bacterium. Its description in RNAcentral is "partial 16S ribosomal RNA". It matches the Rfam family "Bacterial small subunit ribosomal RNA", at positions 28 to 507 of the family's 1533-position model. The record is from RNAcentral.